AGCAACUCGGUGUUCCAGUAUCCA
This 24-nucleotide non-coding RNA is filed under the name Arabidopsis thaliana (thale cress). Lineage: Eukaryota; Viridiplantae; Streptophyta; Magnoliopsida; Brassicales; Brassicaceae. The record is from RNAcentral.